UACGUAGGGGGCUAGCGUUGUCCGGAAUCAUUGGGCGUAAAGAGCGUGUAGGCGGCCCGGUAAGUCCGCUGUGAAAGUCGGGGGCUCAACCCUCGAAUGCCGGAGGAUACUGUCGGGCUAGAGUGCGGAAGAGGCGAGUGGAAUUCCUGGUGUAGCGGUGAAAUGCGCAGAUAUCAGGAGGAACACCGAUUGCGAAGGCAGCUCGCUGGGACGUAACUGACGCUGAGACGCGAAAGCGUGGGGAGCAAACAGG
RNAcentral lists this ribosomal RNA (253 nucleotides) under uncultured bacterium. Its description in RNAcentral is "partial 16S ribosomal RNA". It matches the Rfam family "Bacterial small subunit ribosomal RNA", at positions 524 to 776 of the family's 1533-position model. The record is from RNAcentral.